CCUACGGGCGGCAGCAGUGGGGAAUAUUGCACAAUGGGGGAAACCCUGAUGCAGCGACGCCGCGUGAGUGAAGAAGUAUUUCGGUACGUAAAGCCCUAUCAGCAGGGAAGAAAAUGACGGUACCUGACUAAGAAGCCCCGGCUAACUACGUGCCAGCAGCCGCGGUAAUACGUAGGGGGCAAGCGUUAUCCGGAUUUACUGGGUGUAAAGGGAGCGUAGACGGCAGCGCAAGUCUGGAGUGAAAUCCCAUGGCUUAACCAUGGAACUGCUUUGGAAACUGUGCAGCUAGAGUGCAGGAGAGGUAAGCGGAAUUCCUAGUGGAGCGGUGAAAUGCGUAGAUAUUAGGAGGAACACCAGUGGCGAAGGCGGCUUACUGGACUGUAACUGACGUUGAGGCUCGAAAGCGUGGGGAGCAAACAGGAUUAGAUACCCUAGUAGUC
This 440-nucleotide ribosomal RNA is filed under the name uncultured bacterium. Its description in RNAcentral is "partial 16S ribosomal RNA". It matches the Rfam family "Bacterial small subunit ribosomal RNA", at positions 338 to 795 of the family's 1533-position model. The record is from RNAcentral.